GAUGAAUGCUGGCGGCGUGCCUAACACAUGCAAGUCGAGCGGCAGCGAGGGGUGCUUGCACCCUGUCGGCGAGCGGCGGACGGCUGAGUAACGCGUGGGAAUCUACCCUAAAGUGAGGGAUAACCGCCCGAAAGGGUGGCUAAUACCGCAUAUGAUCUUCGGAUUAAAGGAUUUAUCCGCUUUAGGAAGAGCCCGCGUUAGAUUAGGUAGUUGGUAGGGUAAUGGCCUACCAAGCCAACGAUCUAUAGCUGGUCUGAGAGGAUGAUCAGCCAGACUGGAACUGAGACACGGUCCAGACUCCUACGGGAGGCAGCAGUGAGGAAUCUUCCACAAUGGGCGAAAGCCUGAUGGAGCAACGCCGCGUGAAGGAUGAAGGCCUUCGGGUUGUAAACUUCUUUUAUGAGUGAAGAAUAUGACGGUAACUCAUGAAUAAGCACCGGCUAACUACGUGCCCGCAGCCGCGGUCAUACGUAGGGGGCAAGCAUUAUCCGGAGUGACUGGCCGUAAAGAGUUGCGUAGGCGGUUUAAUAAGUGAAUAGUGAAACCUGGUGGCUCAACCAUACAGACUAUUAUUCAAACUGUUAAACUCGAGAGUGGUAGAGGUAACUGGAAUUUCUAGUGUAGGAGUGAAAUCCGUAGAUAUUAGAAGGAACACCAAUGGCGUAGGCAGGUUACUGGACCAUUUCUGACGCUAAGGCACGAAAGCGUGGGGAGCGAACUGGAUUAGAUACCCAGGUAGUCCACGCCGUAAACGAUGGAUACUAGCUGUUGGAGGUAUCGACCCCUUCAGUAGCGAAGCUAACGCGUUAAGUAUCCCGCCUGUGGAGUACGGCCGCAAGGCUAAAACAUAAAGGAAUUGACGGGGACCCGCACAAGCGGUGGAUCAUGUUCUUUAAUUCGAUGAUAAACGAAGAACCCUUACCAGGGUUUGACAUCCCGAGAAGAUUUACGAAAGUAAAUUGUGCCUUUUGGAACUCGGUGACAGAUGAUGCAUGGCCGUCGUCAGCUCGUGUCGUGAGAUGUUUGGUUAAGUCCAUCAACGAGCGCAACCCUUGUGAAUAGUUGAAUUUUUCUAUUCAGACUGCCCCGGCAACGGGGAGGAAGGAGGGGAUGAUGUCAGGUCAGUAUUUCUCUUACAUCCUGGGCUAGAAACGUGAUACAAUGGCAAGUACAAUGCGCAGCGAAGCCGCGAGGUGAAGCAAAUCGCACCAAAGCUUGUCCCAGUUCGGAUUGGAGGCUGAAACUCGCCUCCAUGAAGUCGGAAUCGCUAGUAAUCGCAGGUCAGCAAACUGCGGUGAAUACGUUCCCGGGUCU
This 1314-nucleotide ribosomal RNA is filed under the name uncultured bacterium. RNAcentral's name for it is "bacterial SSU rRNA". It matches the Rfam family "Bacterial small subunit ribosomal RNA", at positions 28 to 1381 of the family's 1533-position model. The record is from RNAcentral.